AAAUACAUAAUUAGAAUAAUAAUUAUUCAAAAUUUGAUAAUCAUAAAAAUCAAUCAUAGAGUCAACAAUCUCUCUCUUUUUGAUGAUAACAAAACUUUGAGUAUAUAUGUAAAUAAACAUAAUAUAUUUCAAUUAAUUUGCCAACUAAAUCAUGAAUUGAUAAAAUAAACACAUAUAAAUACUUACUUCAUAAAUAUUACCAUUAUAUUCAAGAGUGCAU
This 220-nucleotide long non-coding RNA is filed under the name Elaeis guineensis (African oil palm). RNAcentral's name for it is "long non-coding RNA (EGUI_LNC034221)". Lineage: Eukaryota; Viridiplantae; Streptophyta; Magnoliopsida; Arecales; Arecaceae. The record is from RNAcentral.